This 253-nucleotide ribosomal RNA is filed under the name uncultured bacterium. RNAcentral describes it as "partial 16S ribosomal RNA". It matches the Rfam family "Bacterial small subunit ribosomal RNA", at positions 524 to 776 of the family's 1533-position model. The record is from RNAcentral.
UACGUAGGCAGCAAGCGUUGUUCGGAGUUACUGGGCGUAAAGGGUGCGUAGGCGGUUGUUUAAUUUUGGUGUGAAAUCUCCCGGCUCAACUGGGAGGGUGCGCCGAAUACUGAAUGACUAGAGUGCGGGAGAGGAGAGUGGAAUUCCUGGUGUAGCGGUGAAAUGCGCAGAUAUCAGGAGGAACACCGGUGGUGUAGACGGCUCUCUGGACCGUAACUGACGCUGAGGCACGAAAGCGUGGGUAGCAAACAGG